This 330-nucleotide long non-coding RNA is filed under the name Homo sapiens (human). RNAcentral describes it as "HSALNT0351882". The record is from RNAcentral. Lineage: Eukaryota; Metazoa; Chordata; Mammalia; Primates; Hominidae.
GGGCUGUUGUGCUUAGAUGUAAAAGGCUGGGCAGAACUUGCUUUUCAUUUGCCUAAACUCUUGUGAUUUCUGUGGGGACGGUGGUUGGCAGUAAGCUAAUAGUUCAGAGGGAAAAGUCCAGAUGGGAAGAAGACAAGGAAUUUUAGAGAAAAGCCCCUAAGCCAAAGGAAACCGUUCACUCUUCCUUUUAACCCUUAUGGAAAUCUCAUCAAAUUUGGGAAGAUUGACCUGGCCACCACAGCCAGCUUGGUGACCUUACAGAUGGAGUUUUGCUCUGUUGCCCAGGCUGGGGUGCAGUGGUGUGAUCUCGGCUCACUGCAACCUCCGCCU